Molecule: long non-coding RNA, 2388 nt
Organism: Pongo pygmaeus (Bornean orangutan)
Lineage: Eukaryota; Metazoa; Chordata; Mammalia; Primates; Hominidae
Exons: 3
Source: RefSeq, a predicted model, not a curated record
UCUGUGGGAACCGGAGGGAGGACGGCGCAAGGUCCCCGGACAAAGCGUGGCGCAUAAUUCCAGCCCAUAAUUUGAUGGGCAGGCAACUUAGGGGAUGUGGGCCUGGUUAUAGCUGAGCAUGCCUUUUCUCUUCCUCCCAGACCACAGUUCUUCAGACCUGGAGCCACUUUCAGAGAAGAGUAUAAGUUGCACUGAAUUGAAAAAGGGAAAAGUUUAGGACUGCAGAAGAUGGAAUUCCUGGGGACGUUAAACUGGGCUAAGAUGAAGCAGAUAAGAUUUCCUUAAUUAGAGCAAGACACACCUAGUAUCUAGAGGCUGGAAGUCUUGGUCAAGGAUUCUCCCUAACAUCUCAGUUUCUCAGCAGUAACAUUCCUGCUACUAAAAUGAAGUGAGAAAUUAAUUUCUGAAGUUAAGUAAAGAAAUAAACUAAAAUUCCUAGAAAAGAGAUAAGAAGAAUGAGCCUUUGAAAAAUGUCUUCACAAAGACUGGCAUGAUGGCGUGGAAGAAAGAGCCCCAGAUAUCCAGUAUACAUCUCAAGGUCAACUUGUCCAAAACUGAGCUAGUGAUGAUUUUCCCCUUGAAAUCUACUCUUCCUACAGCUUAUUCAUCUCAAAUACUGAAUUCUGGCCAUAGUGACCCUGCCUCAAUCAUGCAAAUGAGACGAAUGUCCUUGCAAAUGGCAAAGGCCUAAGAUGGAAGGAGUUUGGAUCUGUGAAUCACUACAUGGAGAAAAACCACCUGCUGACCUAGAAACUUACUCUGGAAUGAGAUGAGAAAUGAAUUUAUUGUUCUUUAAGAUGCUGAAUUUUGGAGGUUUAUUUUUUCUAUCAACGUAGCCACCAUUAUUAACAUGGGGUGGGAGUCAGAGAGUGACACUAGAAAGAGGACUAUUUUAAUAAACCAGGUAAGAGAUGAUGAAUACUGGCCAGGCACAGUGGCUCACGCCUGUAAUCCCAGCACUUUGGAAGGCCGAAGUGGGUGGAUCACCUGAGGUCAGGAGUUUGAGACCAGCCUGACCAAUAUGGUGAAAUCCGUCUCUACUAAAAAUAUAAAAGAUUAGUCGGGCAUGGUUGCGUGUGCCUGUAAUCCCAGCUACUUGGGAGGCUGAGGCAGGAGAAUCACUUGAACCCAGGAGGCAGAGGUUGCAGUGAGCCAAGAUCGCGCGAUUGCAUUCCAGCCUGGGCGACAGAGUGAGACUCCGUCUCAAAAAAAAAGAAAGAUGAUGAAUACCUGUGAUGGGAUUGGUGGGGGUAGGUGAAGAAAAGAUAUGAACAAAUUUAUAAAAUACACUCAACAUGACUGCUUUACCUUCAAAUUUCUUAAAAUCUUGACACUUCUGUAGCUUACUACAUGAUUUUCUGCAAGGAGACUUUAUUCCCACCGGUUAACUAAAACUUCUCUUUCCAAAUUUAUUACAGGCCUAAAACCAGCAAAUCCAAUCUGGCCUUUUCUCGGUCUUUAUAGUUUUCUCCUCUCUAUAGCAUAUGACACUGUUGAUCACCCCACCCACCCUAUAGCUUUUUACAUGCUGGUUUUAAUACCUUCCACUCUUUCUGUGUUUUUUGUUUUGUUUUGUUUUUUUCCCCAUCAGCUUAUUCUUGUUCCAUGCCCUUCUAAACAUAGGUGCUCCUCAAGGUCCUGCCCUUAAAUGCAUUCUCCUUUUUUUAUCUAGACACAUUCACUGUCAUGGCUUCAACUAGGCAGAGUGUGACUGACCAACAGUGUGGCUCAUCCUUGUGGAGGAGAACAGAUGCCAAUUAAUUUGACAUGACCAUAUCCAACUCAGGAAGUGGGUGGGAGGUAGGAAGGCAAAUCAGCAUCUCUCUCUUCCUAUUUCAGAUAUGAAUAGGUUAUUUCCUCUGAUGGAAAAAAACAUGCAGAACUUUCUGUAAGUGAAGGAGUGGACUGUGGAGAAUAAGCAGGAUUGUCCAAUAAAUGACCUGAGAACACUUUUUGUGUUGCCUGCCUAUGAACAGUUGGUUCCCUGUUCCCCAGGUGAAAGGGGCUAUGCCUGAACUCAGCUUCCCAAGAGACCUGGUGGUUGAGCUGCUAAUAUUUUCCUGAAUCUGCAUGAGCAGGUGGUGUCUAACCUCACACUUUCAAAUGCUAAAGCCUGGAUGGUUUACCUCCAGUAAACCUCCAGUAGGAAACAACCUACUUGACUCUAGACUCCUUUUACCCACUGCUGUCACUCACCAAUCAGAACCUGUCAGCUCCUCAAAACUUUAUUAGUGCCUAUGAAUUUUCUUUCAAAGUAAUACAUAACAUUUCUCCUUUUUUAAAACCUCCAACCUUCCCUUUGUUCUUCAGACAUACCCAAAACUACCACGCCAGUGUUUAUGCCCUGAAUUGCAAUUCUUGUGUCCCAAAUAAAACAUGUUAAAAUUA